CUCUGCAGGUAGAUGGGCGGUCCGUAGCUGCUUCCAAGGAACUACCACUGCUGAACAUAGCAAGCAAGGAAGAUACACAAGGAGAGAGGAGUCAAGGAAACAGGCCAACAACUCGGCAUAAUGCAACAGGAAUGAGGCGAGAUGUUUUAUUUCAUCCACUCAGAUGUGAUCAUCUUAAAUGUCUGUGAGUCCUGAACAG
Long non-coding RNA from Archocentrus centrarchus (flier cichlid), 199 nucleotides. RefSeq lists it as uncharacterized. The record is from RefSeq and is a predicted model, not a curated record. Lineage: Eukaryota; Metazoa; Chordata; Actinopteri; Cichliformes; Cichlidae. The transcript has 3 exons.